RNAcentral lists this ribosomal RNA (365 nucleotides) under Dryas octopetala. RNAcentral describes it as "eukaryotic LSU rRNA". The stretch from base 1 to 107 matches the Rfam family "5.8S ribosomal RNA", at positions 50 to 154 of the family's 154-position model. Lineage: Eukaryota; Viridiplantae; Streptophyta; Magnoliopsida; Rosales; Rosaceae. The record is from RNAcentral.
GAAAUGCGAUACUUGGUGUGAAUUGCAGAACCCCGUGAACCAUCGAGUCUUUGAACGCAAGUUGCGCCCGAAGCCAUUAGGCCGAGGGCACGCCUGCCUGGGCGUCACACAACGUUGUCCCCCCCACCACCAACCCCCUCGGGGGCGUUCGGGGGGACGGAUGGUGGCUUCCCGUGCGCACCGUCGCGCGGCUGGCACAAAACCAGGUCCUCGGCGGCGAGCGCCACGACAAUCGGUGGUUGUCAAACCUCGGUGCCCUGUCGUGUGUGCCCGUCGCAAUUCUUGGACCCGCUGAUCCCCUCGCGUCGCUUCGGCGUCGCUUUCGACGCGACCCCAGGUCAGGCGGGGUUACCCGCUGAAUUUAA